Molecule: ribosomal RNA, 342 nt
Filed under: Theatops posticus
Lineage: Eukaryota; Metazoa; Arthropoda; Chilopoda; Scolopendromorpha; Cryptopidae
Description: partial 12S ribosomal RNA
Source: RNAcentral
UUUUUGUGUAAAAUUAAUUUUAGUAGUAGUAGAGAUCUUGAAAUUAAAAGAAUUUGGCGGUAAUAAAGUCAUAUUAGAGGAACCUGUUUUAUGAAAUUGAUAAUCCGCAAAUAUCUUACCAGGCUUAGUAAAUCAGUUUAUAUAUCGCUGUUGUAAGAUGAGUUUUAAGAAUAUUUUCUUGAUAAUUAUUAGAAAAUCAGGUCAAGGUGUAGUUUAUGGUUUGGAUGAAGUGGGUUACAAUAUAAGAAUAUGAACGGAAAUGAUAGUGGAAUUAGGAAUUGAAGGAGGAUUUAAUUGUAAUUUUUUAAUAUUAUGUUAAAAUGAAUAGGAACUAUAUUAUGU